Molecule: non-coding RNA, 72 nt
Organism: Ictidomys tridecemlineatus (thirteen-lined ground squirrel)
Lineage: Eukaryota; Metazoa; Chordata; Mammalia; Rodentia; Sciuridae
Source: Rfam
CGGGUUGUGGCUUAGAAGUAGAGUGCUCACCUGGCACGUGUGAGGCACUGGGUUCGACCCUCAGCACCACAU